ACACUGCUAACGAGUCCCAAACAGGACGAAACAGCUGUUCAGUGC
RNAcentral lists this non-coding RNA (45 nucleotides) under Echinostoma caproni. The record is from RNAcentral. Lineage: Eukaryota; Metazoa; Platyhelminthes; Trematoda; Plagiorchiida; Echinostomatidae.